AGGAGAGGAGAGCCGGCGCCGGGACUUCAAACAGGGAGCCAUUACAAGGCUACAGAGGAAGAUGGGACACCACACUGAUGAGUGAUAACACUAGCUAAAAACAACCACAAGAAAGAAAGAUGAUGGAGAAGGAAGUAUGUACAGUGCACCUGCACCAGUCAUGAGCUUGCCACCUGCAGUUUGAGCUUCGGUGGAUGGCAAGCGCUGGGUUUUUCAACAGGGCUACAAAGAACAUUAAUAUUGGAGAAACUGCUGGUUCCACUCCUACAUGUUUACAGGUUGCUGUGGGGAAGGAACAUUCAUUCAGUCUUGAUGGUCCCAUAUAUGAUAUCCAGCCUGGAGACUGAGUGGUGAUCAAGGUGUGGAACAAGAAACCCCUAGAACCAUCUUGGACAAAAC
This is a long non-coding RNA of Sceloporus undulatus (fence lizard), 399 nucleotides long. RefSeq lists it as uncharacterized. The transcript has 4 exons. The record is from RefSeq and is a predicted model, not a curated record. NCBI's taxonomy places the organism in Eukaryota, Metazoa, Chordata, Lepidosauria, Squamata, Phrynosomatidae.